This 317-nucleotide ribosomal RNA is filed under the name Ralstonia solanacearum. Its description in RNAcentral is "bacterial SSU rRNA". It matches the Rfam family "Bacterial small subunit ribosomal RNA", at positions 164 to 476 of the family's 1533-position model. Lineage: Bacteria; Pseudomonadati; Pseudomonadota; Betaproteobacteria; Burkholderiales; Burkholderiaceae. The record is from RNAcentral.
UAAUACCGCAUACGACCUGAGGGUGAAAGUGGGGGACCGCAAGGCCUCAUGCUAUAGGAGCGGCCGAUGUCUGAUUAGCUAGUUGGUGGGGUAAAGGCCCACCAAGGCGACGAUCAGUAGCUGGUCUGAGAGGACGAUCAGCCACACUGGGACUGAGACACGGCCCAGACUCCUACGGGAGGCAGCAGUGGGGAAUUUUGGACAAUGGGGGCAACCCUGAUCCAGCAAUGCCGCGUGUGUGAAGAAGGCCUUCGGGUUGUAAAGCACUUUUGUCCGGAAAGAAAUCGCACUGGUUAAUACCUGGUGUGGAUGACGGU